AGUGAACGCUGGCGGUAGGCCUAACACAUGCAAGUCGAACGGCAGCACAGUAAGAGCUUGCUCUUACGGGUGGCGAGUGGCGGACGGGUGAGGAAUACAUCGGAAUCUACUUUUUCGUGGGGGAUAACGUAGGGAAACUUACGCUAAUACCGCAUACGACCUACGGGUGAAAGCAGGGGAUCUUCGGACCUUGCGCGAUUGAAUGAGCCGAUGUCGGAUUAGCUAGUUGGCGGGGUAGAGGCCCACCAAGGCGACGAUCCGUAGCUGGUCUGAGAGGAUGAUCAGCCACACUGGAACUGAGACACGGUCCAGACUCCUACGGGAGGCAGCAGUGGGGAAUAUUGGACAAUGGGCGCAAGCCUGAUCCAGCCAUACCGCGUGGGUGAAGAAGGCCUUCGGGUUGUAAAGCCCUUUUGUUGGGAAAGAAAAGCAGCAGGUUAAUACCCCGCUGUUCUGACGGUACCCAAAGUAUAAGCACCGGCUAACUUCGUG
This 492-nucleotide ribosomal RNA is filed under the name uncultured bacterium. RNAcentral describes it as "partial 16S ribosomal RNA". It matches the Rfam family "Bacterial small subunit ribosomal RNA", at positions 29 to 507 of the family's 1533-position model. The record is from RNAcentral.